This 155-nucleotide ribosomal RNA is filed under the name uncultured fungus. RNAcentral's name for it is "5.8S ribosomal RNA". It matches the Rfam family "5.8S ribosomal RNA". From Rfam's summary of the family: 5.8S ribosomal RNA (5.8S rRNA) is a component of the large subunit of the eukaryotic ribosome. The record is from RNAcentral. Lineage: Eukaryota; Fungi.
AACUUUCAACAAAGGAUCUCUUGGCUCUCGCAUCGAUGAAGAACGCAGCGAAGCGCGAAAUGUAGUGUGAAUCGCAGAACAUUGUGAAUCAUCGAAUCUUUGAACGCACAUUGCGCCUCCUGUAACAGGGAGGCAUGCCUGUCUGAGUCUCAUUU